GAGACACGAAAGUGGCUUGCGUUUAUUGUGUAUAACAUGCGACGUUUAAUGUACGACGAAGAUUGUAGUUUUUAGCGAUAAAAAGGUGAAUUGUGCUGGUUGGUUGCGUUUUUUCUUUUUGUGUGCAAAACGUGAGUAUAUAAUUAAAAUAAUAUAAAGAAUAUAUUAAUAAUUAUAAUAUAAUUUUAUAUUAUUAAGGUAAUUCGUGGUCUGUACAGAAGACAGUAAAAUUCAACCAAAGGAUAUAAAGGAUUUUAAAAUUAUUGAAAUAUUUUCAAAGUAAGGGAGGAUUCUAAGAUGCCUGUGAGCAUCAACAUUUGGCUCAUAAUCUGUUUCACGACUGACAAAUUUGUCAGUAUGCAGUUUAGAUGAGCUGAGAUUAUUAUAUGUAUAUAUGCAAUAAAAAUUAUAAUUAGUACCAAGAUCUAACUGUAGAUCAUUUCAGCUUUUUUAACUUUAUUGAUAUGUU
Long non-coding RNA from Monomorium pharaonis (pharaoh ant), 469 nucleotides. RefSeq lists it as uncharacterized. The record is from RefSeq and is a predicted model, not a curated record. NCBI's taxonomy places the organism in Eukaryota, Metazoa, Arthropoda, Insecta, Hymenoptera, Formicidae. The transcript has 3 exons.